RNAcentral lists this long non-coding RNA (1657 nucleotides) under Arabidopsis thaliana (thale cress). RNAcentral describes it as "potential natural antisense gene, locus overlaps with AT2G42360 and AT2G42370 (AT2G42365)". Lineage: Eukaryota; Viridiplantae; Streptophyta; Magnoliopsida; Brassicales; Brassicaceae. The record is from RNAcentral.
CCGGAGUUUAAUACGGCCCAAAUCAGUAUAACCGAGUUCAAUAACCGGUAAGAAUUAAAAUAUUUUACAUUAUUCACCCAAAUCUUUACAUUAAUCACAACAAACUCCAACAUCUAUUCGACUCUUUCAAAUUCACACUCUUCCUCCUCUUCGAAAUCUCCGAGUACAAAAUCGAUCAAUCUCUCGGAAAAUGAUCGUGUAUUCUCUCUCUCAGCCUCACUGCUUCCUAAUGAAUCUCUCUAUUUCUCCUCAUUACGGUUGCUGCUACUGCGGAGUUUGGUGGGGAGGUAUUAGAGACGGAGCUUUGGUGCGUGGCGAAGAACAACGUUGAGGAUUCAACACUUUAAACGGCCAUUGACUGGGCUUGUGGUCCCAGAGGAGCUGAUUGCGUCUAGAUUCAGCAAGGUGGAUCCUGCUACGAUCCAUUGGAUAUAGUGAAGAUGGCUUCGUAUGUAUUCAAUAACUAUUAUCUGAUGGAAUGGUCUCGCAGAUGAAGCUUGCAACUUUAGUAACAACGCAGCUGUUACUUCUCUCAAUCCUAGUAAGUUCACAUUUUCUUUCAGGAUCAAUGUCUAGCAGAUAGUUAUGACUUUUGCUAAUUGAAAAUGUUGAAAGUUUGAUGCUUUUUCUGCAAUUUUUCGUUUUCAGGUCAAGGAACAUGCAAGUUUCCUUCAAGUAAGGGAGUGAGCAAUGGAAGUAUCGCAGAUGCCACUUCAAUGCAGGGAGCAACUGCACCAGAAUUCUCAGAUUGAGCCGAGCAAGGCGGAUGUUUAGCAGCUGGUUGUCACCCUUCGUCAUUUUAGGCCACAUUGUGACAAUGACACUGAUUAUCCAACAGGUUUAGCUUCCGAUUGGUGAUUGAAGGACAAGAAUGGUUGAUCCUGUUCGAAGAUCUUUCCCUCGUCAAGAUUUUCCUAAACGAAUUUAAUCGCGAAGCCGGGGAUACAACUGUUUUGUUAUCUGAGGAAGAAGAGGAUGCGGCUUCUACAGUCAAGUUCAGCCUGGUUUCCACCAACAACUGCGGUGCAGUACCGACUGGUCCUUCCCUUGGCUCAGGCUCAAGUCUCGGUCUUGGCUCAACUUCAGUCCGACAAACAGGACAAGUGGAGCAAGUGGUGAGCCACGUGUCAACACAGUCGACGUGGAAGAUGUGCUUGCAGUUGGGCAACUCUCUCGCCUUGUCUUGCUCCUUUAACACGCUUAGACACACUGCGCAUUCAGUAGCGGAGGCAGCCACGCCAUCAGUGGCUCCAACAGUGAAAGUAGGGAGAGAAGCGAUGACUGUGGGAUUGAGGCCACGCUUAGGCAUCUCAAAAGGGUGGCGGAAAAUGACGGGGAGGCCACGGAAAGCUUCUCUACGGCGUCGGAGAACGAAUCUUGCGUAAAGAUGAAGAGCGAAGACGAUGAGGAUAACUCCAGAUAAAGAAGCCACUGCGGCAAGCAUGAUCUUGCUGUUAAGAUCGUAAGUAGACGGAUUAGGCCAGAAUGAGUGGUGGUCAGAGUUGAACCUGCGAUGAUCUCUGUCGUUGGAGCUCAUUGUGAAGCUGGUUUUUCUUCGGUGGAUGCAAAAGAAAAGUGAACAAAAGAGUUUACUAACUUAUGAUUUAUUAUAUAAGGAAUAAAGGACUUAUAGAAUUUCUUAUUUUGAUUGUUUUUC